AGACGGAGGGUGCAAGCGUUAAUCGGAAUUACUGGGCGUAAAGCGCGCGUAGGUGGUUUGAUAAGUCGGAUGUGAAAGCCCCGGGCUCAACCUGGGAACUGCAUUCGAAACUGUCUGACUAGAGUAUGGUAGAGGGAAGUGGAAUUCCGGGUGUAGCGGUGAAAUGCGUAGAUAUCCGGAGGAACAUCAGUGGCGAAGGCGACUUCCUGGACCAAUACUGACGCUGAGGUGCGAAAGCGUGGGGAGCAAACAGGAUUAGAAACCCCAGUAGUCC
This 274-nucleotide ribosomal RNA is filed under the name uncultured bacterium. RNAcentral describes it as "partial 16S ribosomal RNA". It matches the Rfam family "Bacterial small subunit ribosomal RNA", at positions 523 to 796 of the family's 1533-position model. The record is from RNAcentral.